UACGGGAGGCAGCAGUGGGGAAUAUUGCACAAUGGGCGCAAGCCUGAUGCAGCCAUGCCGCGUGUAUGAAGAAGGCCUUCGGGUUGUAAAGUACUUUCAGCAGUGAGGAAGGUGGGUAUGUUAAUAGCAUACUCAUUUGACGUUAGCUGCAGAAGAAGCACCGGCUAACUCCGUGCCAGCAGCCGCGGUAAUACGGUAGGGUGCGAGCGUUAAUCGGAAUUACUGGGCGUAAAGCGCAUGCAGGUGGUUUGUUAAGUCAGAUGUGAAAGCCCGGGGCUCAACCUCGGAAUUGCAUUUGAAACUGGCAAACUAGAGUACUGUAGAGGGGGUAGAAUUUCAGGUGUAGCGGUGAAAUGCGUAGAGAUCUGAAGGAAUACCGGUGGCGAAGGCGGCCCCCUGGACAGAUACUGACACUCAGAUGCGAAAGCGUGGGGAGCAAACAGGAUUAGAUACCCUGGUAG
This 461-nucleotide ribosomal RNA is filed under the name uncultured bacterium. RNAcentral describes it as "bacterial SSU rRNA". It matches the Rfam family "Bacterial small subunit ribosomal RNA", at positions 340 to 793 of the family's 1533-position model. The record is from RNAcentral.